RNAcentral lists this ribosomal RNA (492 nucleotides) under uncultured bacterium. Its description in RNAcentral is "bacterial SSU rRNA". It matches the Rfam family "Bacterial small subunit ribosomal RNA", at positions 574 to 1065 of the family's 1533-position model. The record is from RNAcentral.
GGCGGUCUGUCAAGUCGGAUGUGAAAUCCCCGGGCUCAACCUGGGAACUGCAUUCGAAACUGGCAGGCUAGAGUCUUGUAGAGGGGGGUAGAAUUCCAGGUGUAGCGGUGAAAUGCGUAGAGAUCUGGAGGAAUACCGGUGGCGAAGGCGGCCCCCUGGACAAAGACUGACGCUCAGGUGCGAAAGCGUGGGGAGCAAACAGGAUUAGAUACCCUGGUAGUCCACGCCGUAAACGAUGUCGACUUGGAGGUUGUUCCCUUGAGGAGUGGCUUCCGGAGCUAACGCGUUAAGUCGACCGCCUGGGGAGUACGGCCGCAAGGUUAAAACUCAAAUGAAUUGACGGGGGCCCGCACAAGCGGUGGAGCAUGUGGUUUAAUUCGAUGCAACGCGAAGAACCUUACCUACUCUUGACAUCCACGGAAUUUAGCAGAGAUGCUUUAGUGCCUUCGGGAACCGUGAGACAGGUGCUGCAUGGCUGUCGUCAGCUCGUGU